UAGGCUACCCAGAAAAUUUGAAAUGCUGUGUUCUAUUGUGUUACUCCUGGUUUUCGCUGAUCUCGUCUUAGGUGGUUUAUUAGGGAAACCGACGGUGCAAUAUAUGAAUUACUGCCGUAGUAACGACGAUUGUAAGAUACAGGAAGAAUGCAAGAAAUCAAUAAUGUAUAACAAGAAAUACUGCCAACCUAGCACAAGAGGUGGGGGAUAGUAUUCGAAAUAAAUCAUUCCUUUUAACCGAUG
Molecule: long non-coding RNA, 243 nt
Organism: Physella acuta
Lineage: Eukaryota; Metazoa; Mollusca; Gastropoda; Physidae
Source: RefSeq, a predicted model, not a curated record